GGUGGUAAUGCCGGAUGUUCCACAUGAUCGCAUGUGAUUGUGGGAAAGAUUCUAUCGGCGUGGGAUGGGGUCGCGUCCUAUCAGCUUGUUGGUGAGGUAACGGCUCACCAAGGCUUCGACGGGUAGCCGGCCUGAGAGGGCGACCGGCCACAUUGGGACUGAGAUACGGCCCAGACUCCUACGGGAGGCAGCAGUGGGGAAUAUUGCACAAUGGGCGCAAGCCUGAUGCAGCGACGCCGCGUGAGGGAUGGAGGCCUUCGGGUUGUAAACCUCUUUUGUUUGGGAGCAAGCCUUCGGGUGAGUGUACCUUUCGAAUAAGCGCCGGCUAACUACGUGCCAGCAGCCGCGGUAAUACGUAGGGCGCAAGCGUUAUCCGGAUUUAUUGGGCGUAAAGGGCUCGUAGGCGGCUCGUCGCGUCCGGUGUGAAAGUCCAUCGCUUAACGGUGGAUCUGCGCCGGGUACGGGCGGGCUGGAGUGCGGUAGGGGAGACUGGAAUUCCCGGUGUAACGGUGGAAUGUGUAGAUAUCGGGAAGAACACCA
This 540-nucleotide ribosomal RNA is filed under the name Bifidobacterium bifidum. RNAcentral describes it as "bacterial SSU rRNA". It matches the Rfam family "Bacterial small subunit ribosomal RNA", at positions 159 to 711 of the family's 1533-position model. The record is from RNAcentral. Lineage: Bacteria; Bacillati; Actinomycetota; Actinomycetes; Bifidobacteriales; Bifidobacteriaceae.